Molecule: ribosomal RNA, 491 nt
Filed under: uncultured bacterium
Lineage: Bacteria
Description: partial 16S ribosomal RNA
Rfam family: Bacterial small subunit ribosomal RNA
Source: RNAcentral
AGUGAACGCUGGCGGUAGGCCUAACACAUGCAAGUCGAACGGCAGCACAGUAAGAGCUUGCUCUUACGGGUGCGAGUGGCGGACGGGUGAGGAAUACAUCGGAAUCUACUUUUUCGUGGGGGAUAACGUAGAGAAACUUACGCUAAUACCGCAUACGACCUACGGGUGAAAGCAGGGGAUCUUCGGACCUUGCGCGAUUGAAUGAGCCGAUGUCGGAUUAGCUAGUUGGCGGGGUAAAGGCCCACCAAGGCGACGAUCCGUAGCUGGUCUGAGAGGAUGAUCAGCCACACUGGAACUGAGACACGGUCCAGACUCCUACGGGAGGCAGCAGUGGGGAAUAUUGGACAAUGGGCGCAAGCCUGAUCCAGCCAUACCGCGUGGGUGAAGAAGGCCUUCGGGUUGUAAAGCCCUUUUGUUGGGAAAGAAAAGCAGCAGGUUAAUACCCCGCUGUUCUGACGGUACCCAAAGAAUAAGCACCGGCUAACUUCGUG